GAUGAACGCUAGCGGCAGGCUUAACACAUGCAAGUCGUGGGGCAGCGCGGGGUAGCAAUACUCUGGCGGCGACCGGCAAACGGGUGCGGAACACGUACGCAACCUUCCUCAAAGCGGGGAAUAGCCUCUCGAAAGAGAGAUUAAUACCCCAUAGUACCUCGAAACCGCAUGGUUUUGGGGUUAAAGCUCCGGCACUUUGAGAUGGGCGUGCGGCUGAUUAGGUAGUUGGUAGGGUAACGGCCUACCAAGC
This 250-nucleotide ribosomal RNA is filed under the name uncultured bacterium. RNAcentral describes it as "partial 16S ribosomal RNA". It matches the Rfam family "Bacterial small subunit ribosomal RNA", at positions 28 to 273 of the family's 1533-position model. The record is from RNAcentral.